CCGCGUUUAGUUUCGUGCUUUUUUUUGAGACAGCCAUGACCUUGCUGUUAUCUGUUGGUUUACCAGCCGCCCAGUUGUGCAAAAAUCCUGGGUUGAAAUGGUUAGUUCAAAACCGAAAGUGAAUUAGCCUAAGUUACAGCAAACUUUGGACUGUGAUAGGCGGAUACCAGUUUGGCUCUUGACGCCGUCGUGAGUCAGGUAAGACUUAUAGUCUGUGUAGUUACUUAGGAGAAAAUGGCAGGAAUAGUUGGAAUGGAAGAUGGUUGCAUUUUUUAACACGGGUAAAUUCAGCCGCCCUUGCAGCACUUGGAUAGUUUAAAAUAUAAUGCGCUGUUCUGUUCGUCAGUGACCUUGUGCAGGCCAAUUUGUGUACAGUGCGUCAUUGUAGCGAAUUCUGUUUACUGCAGGAUUGCAAGACUUUCUGGUUAAAAUAAGCAUGAAAGUUGUCACGCUUUGUGAACAUAAUAUAUUUAAUGAAACUACCUUGAGCAACAGGUGCGUGGAGCGAGAGAAAAUACGUUAACGUUUUUUUAAAAUCUUGUUUUUUAAACAGUGUGCAUCUUCCAAUAUUCAGACUUUCUUAUUAAUCAUGUGAUUUUUGUUAUUUAUUAGGCUAAUCAUUCGUUUUCAUGGGUGGAAGAAGUAAUUCGGAAGAUAUUGGGCCGAUAUCAUUGGAGAAUUUCAUUUGCUAUAAGGCAACAGAUCUGACAGAACAUGAGAGAAUGAACAGCCACAGGAUGAAGCAAGUAUCUAAUGUGAACACAGCUGGAAGAGGACUUCAUAUGACAGACUUACUAUAAGGGAAGAUAUGUGUCAAUUCAGGAUGGACAACAGAGAUAACUGUUGUUUUGAGCUGAAAGUUAUACUGCCCCAGAGUGGCAGCCAUUAGAAUGAUGGAGCACCCUCCUCCAGAUGCAGUUGGUUCAGCUCCUACUCCAUACCUGUCACCUGCCUGGCAUUAUCACCCAUUGGCCUUCCACCUCGUCUCUCCUCAUGAACAGAGCUAUCUUUGCCCAGCUUCAGUUGUAUCUUGUGAUCGACAUUCAUGCACUGUUUAUGUACAUUUUUCUGUUUUUAUACCUGCACUAUACAAAUAAAAUUGAACUGAAUUGAGUUCAUUGGAGCAAAAAGACAAAA
This is a long non-coding RNA of Anguilla anguilla (European eel), 1137 nucleotides long. RefSeq lists it as uncharacterized. The transcript is spliced from 3 exons. NCBI's taxonomy places the organism in Eukaryota, Metazoa, Chordata, Actinopteri, Anguilliformes, Anguillidae. The record is from RefSeq and is a predicted model, not a curated record.